Molecule: long non-coding RNA, 543 nt
Filed under: Parus major (Great Tit)
Lineage: Eukaryota; Metazoa; Chordata; Aves; Passeriformes; Paridae
Description: lncRNA (ENSPMJG00000011261.1)
Source: RNAcentral
UCAGAAUCCAUCUCCAAGCCUCUUUUUGGCCUUAUCUAUGUGGCACAAUGCAAAUUGUAAUGCAGAAACACCUGAGCUCAAGUGUAUCUACCUUGGCUAUGCCUGCUAGAGGAAAUUAAACAGUAAAAACCAAGGUUUUAAUGCUUGUUCUUGGUAUCUCUGGAGGUCCCCUGCACUGCCCUUUCUCCACGCACCUUGGAUUGUCAAGAUUUCGUCUCCAGUGACCUGAGGAGCUCCCCACUGCCUCCAUUUUGUCAUCUCCAUCAUCUCCACUUCUCCAUAGUGGUGUUCCAAGAUCUCCUCGGCACCUCAAACAGGACUGCAGAAUUCGUUGUAAGUGUCCUCCUGACUGGAGGGAGAAGAAGCCAUUCUGGAGGCAGAAGGGUCUCUGUUGGUGAAGGUUGUUUGAAACAGCACUUGAUGAGAACAUGCCUGGUUCCUGCUCAUCUUGUUCAGGCAUGAGCUUCUUAAGCAAAAUCCUUUUGUUUAGACUUGGGCCGAAACUAUUUUUUUCUGGAAAGCAUUGAAAGAAAUGGUCCUGGC